UCCACCAGCCAUAUCACCCUGCAACUCACAACUGGCAACCCACUGAAGCUAAGCGGGUGUGAGCCUGGUCAGUACCUGGAUGGGAGACCUCCUGGGAAAAACUAAGGUUGCUGCAGGAA
This is a ribosomal RNA of Lepisosteus oculatus (spotted gar), 119 nucleotides long. NCBI's taxonomy places the organism in Eukaryota, Metazoa, Chordata, Actinopteri, Semionotiformes, Lepisosteidae. The record is from Ensembl.